RNAcentral lists this transfer RNA (63 nucleotides) under Amphimerus sp. JM-2019. Its description in RNAcentral is "tRNA-Glu". The record is from RNAcentral. Lineage: Eukaryota; Metazoa; Platyhelminthes; Trematoda; Opisthorchiida; Opisthorchiidae.
GUUGGUUUGGUGUUUUAGCAUUCUAAUUUUUCGUAUUAGGGGGGGUCUUUGGGCUGAUCAAUA